Solea senegalensis (Senegalese sole) is the source of this 157-nucleotide small nuclear RNA. RefSeq annotates it as U1 spliceosomal RNA. The transcript has a single exon. Lineage: Eukaryota; Metazoa; Chordata; Actinopteri; Pleuronectiformes; Soleidae. The record is from RefSeq and is a predicted model, not a curated record.
AUACUUACCUGGCAGGGGAGAUACCAUGAUCAAGCAGGCGGUUCACCCCAGGCGGGAAGCUCAAUAGCCACUCCGGCUGUUGACCCUGCAAAUUCCCCAAACGUGGGAGUCUUGACUGCAUAAUUUUAGUGGGGUGCUGCGUCCGCGCUUUCCCCCG